GACGAACGCUGGCGGCGUGCCUAAUACAUGCAAGUCGAGCGGACAGAAGGGAGCUUGCUCCCGGAUGUUAGCGGCGGACGGGUGAGUAAUACGUGGGUAACCUGCCUGUAAGACUGGGAUAACUCCGGGAAACCGGAGCUAAUACCGGAUAGUUCCUUGAACCGCAUGGUUCAAGGAUGAAAGACGGUUUCGGCUGUCACUUACAGAUGGACCCGCGGCGCAUUAGCAAGUUGGUGGGGUAAUGGCUCACCAAGGCGACGAUGCGUAGCCGACCUGAGAGGGUGAGCGGCCACACUGGGACUGAGAGACGGCCCAGACGCCUACGGGAGGCAGCAGUAGGGAAUCUUCCGAAAUGGACGAAAGUCUGACGGAGCAACGCCGCGUGAGUGAUGAAGGUUUUCGGAUCGUAAAGCUCUGUUGUUAGGGAAGAACAAGUGCGAGAGUAACUGCUCGCACCAUGACGGUACCUAACCAGAAAGCCACGGCUAACUACGUGCCAGCAGCAGCCGCGG
This 512-nucleotide ribosomal RNA is filed under the name uncultured bacterium. RNAcentral's name for it is "partial 16S ribosomal RNA". It matches the Rfam family "Bacterial small subunit ribosomal RNA", at positions 28 to 523 of the family's 1533-position model. The record is from RNAcentral.